Molecule: ribosomal RNA, 156 nt
Filed under: Musa acuminata subsp. malaccensis (wild Malaysian banana)
Lineage: Eukaryota; Viridiplantae; Streptophyta; Magnoliopsida; Zingiberales; Musaceae
Description: 5.8S ribosomal RNA
Rfam family: 5.8S ribosomal RNA
About the family: 5.8S ribosomal RNA (5.8S rRNA) is a component of the large subunit of the eukaryotic ribosome.
Source: Rfam by way of RNAcentral
GACUCUCGGCAACGGAUAUCUCGGCUCUCGCAUCGAUGAAGAACGUAGCGAAAUGCGAUACCUGGUGUGAAUUGCAGAAUCCCGUGAACCAUCGAGUCUUUGAACGCAAGUUACGGCCGAGGCCAUCCGGCUAAGGGCACGCCUGCCUGGGCGUCA